Non-coding RNA from Pelobates cultripes (western spadefoot toad), 291 nucleotides. NCBI's taxonomy places the organism in Eukaryota, Metazoa, Chordata, Amphibia, Anura, Pelobatidae. The record is from the annotation of a GenBank genome assembly.
AAUGUAGUGAAGGAGGGAAUAGGUGCUGUACAUCAGCCAGAUUUAAUGUAUGACAUGCAUUCACCCACUCUGGUUUGCCUUUACUCAGUUAUUUCUUGCUUAUCUGGUAUUCUUAGCAGCAAGGAAAGCUGUUUUCGAAUCAAAUCCUAGCCUCACAAUAUAGUCUAUUUGUUCCUCUUCAAAUAAGUAUACUGCCAAUAAUGCUGAAAAUGAAGCUGGCACCAAUGAAGGAGGUUCCACCACUACCGUUUGAUUAAAUUAAAUAAAAUGAUACCUUUGUUGCAAACAUGG